RNAcentral lists this ribosomal RNA (3028 nucleotides) under Salmonella enterica subsp. enterica serovar Mbandaka. RNAcentral's name for it is "bacterial LSU rRNA". It matches the Rfam family "Bacterial large subunit ribosomal RNA". Lineage: Bacteria; Pseudomonadati; Pseudomonadota; Gammaproteobacteria; Enterobacterales; Enterobacteriaceae. The record is from RNAcentral.
GGGUUGUGAGGUUAAGCGACUAAGCGUACACGGUGGAUGCCCUGGCAGUCAGAGGCGAUGAAGGGCGUGCUAAUCUGCGAUAAGCGCCGGUAAGGUGAUAUGAACCGUUAUAACCGGCGAUACCCGAAUGGGGAAACCCAGUGUGACUCGUCACACUAUCAUUAACUGAAUCCAUAGGUUAAUGAGGCGAACCGGGGGAACUGAAACAUCUAAGUACCCCGAGGAAAAGAAAUCAACCGAGAUUCCCCCAGUAGCGGCGAGCGAACGGGGAGGAGCCCAGAGCCUGAAUCAGCAUGUGUGUUAGUGGAAGCGUCUGGAAAGGCGCGCGAUACAGGGUGACAGCCCCGUACACAAAAGCGCAUGUGCUGUGAGCUCGAUGAGUAGGGCGGGACACGUGGUAUCCUGUCUGAAUAUGGGGGGACCAUCCUCCAAGGCUAAAUACUCCUGACUGACCGAUAGUGAACCAGUACCGUGAGGGAAAGGCGAAAAGAACCCCGGCGAGGGGAGUGAAAAAGAACCUGAAACCGUGUACGUACAAGCAGUGGGAGCCCCACCACUAAGCCAGUGGUGAACUCCACAUACGCAUCCUUUGCUGAGGAUACGGUUAACGGAGCGAAAGCGACGUUCAACCUCAAAAGAAGCAGAGGGGGCUUAGUGGUGGGGUGACUGCGUACCUUUUGUAUAAUGGGUCAGCGACUUAUAUUCUGUAGCAAGGUUAACCGCAUAGGGGAGCCGGAGGGAAACCGAGUCUUAAUUGGGCGUUAAGUUGCAGGGUAUAGACCCGAAACCCGGUGAUCUAGCCAUGGGCAGGUUGAAGGUUGGGUAACACUAACUGGAGGACCGAACCGACUAAUGUUGAAAAAUUAGCGGAUGACCUGUGGCUGGGGGUGAAAGGCCAAUCAAACCGGGAGAUAGCUGGUUCUCCCCGAAAGCUAUUUAGGUAGCGCCUCGUGAAUUCAUCUCCGGGGGUAGAGCACUGUUUCGGCUAGGGGGCCAUCCCGGCUUACCAACCCGAUGCAAACUGCGAAUACCGGAGAAUGUUAUCACGGGAGACACACGGCGGGUGCUAACGUCCGUCGUGAAGAGGGAAACAACCCAGACCGCCAGCUAAGGUCCCAAAGUCAUGGUUAAGUGGGAAACGAUGUGGGAAGGCCCAGACAGCCAGGAUGUUGGCUUAGAAGCAGCCAUCAUUUAAAGAAAGCGUAAUAGCUCACUGGUCGAGUCGGCCUGCGCGGAAGAUGUAACGGGGCUAAACCAUGCACCGAAGCUGCGGCAGCGACGCUGAUGCGUUGUUGGGUAGGGGAGCGUUCUGUAAGCCUGUGAAGGUGUGCUGUGAGGCAUGCUGGAGGUAUCAGAAGUGCGAAUGCUGACAUAAGUAACGAUAAAGCGGGUGAAAAGCCCGCUCGCCGGAAGACCAAGGGUUCCUGUCCAACGUUAAUCGGGGCAGGGUGAGUCGACCCCUAAGGCGAGGCCGAAAGGCGUAGUCGAUGGGAAACGGGUUAAUAUUCCCGUACUUGGUGUUACUGCGAAGGGGGGACGGAGAAGGCUAUGUUGGCCGGGCGACGGUUGUCCCGGUUUAAGCGUGUAGGUGUGUGUUCCAGGUAAAUCCGGUUCACUUUAACACUGAGGCGUGACGACGAGGCACUACGGUGCUGAAGCAACAAAUGCCCUGCUUCCAGGAAAAGCCUCUAAGCAUCAGGUAACAUCAAAUCGUACCCCAAACCGACACAGGUGGUCAGGUAGAGAAUACCAAGGCGCUUGAGAGAACUCGGGUGAAGGAACUAGGCAAAAUGGUGCCGUAACUUCGGGAGAAGGCACGCUGACACGUAGGUGAAGUGAUUUACUCAUGGAGCUGAAGUCAGUCGAAGAUACCAGCUGGCUGCAACUGUUUAUUAAAAACACAGCACUGUGCAAACACGAAAGUGGACGUAUACGGUGUGACGCCUGCCCGGUGCCGGAAGGUUAAUUGAUGGGGUCAGCGCAAGCGAAGCUCCUGAUCGAAGCCCCGGUAAACGGCGGCCGUAACUAUAACGGUCCUAAGGUAGCGAAAUUCCUUGUCGGGUAAGUUCCGACCUGCACGAAUGGCGUAAUGAUGGCCAGGCUGUCUCCACCCGAGACUCAGUGAAAUUGAACUCGCUGUGAAGAUGCAGUGUACCCGCGGCAAGACGGAAAGACCCCGUGAACCUUUACUAUAGCUUGACACUGAACAUUGAGCCUUGAUGUGUAGGAUAGGUGGGAGGCUUUGAAGUGUGGACGCCAGUCUGCAUGGAGCCGACCUUGAAAUACCACCCUUUAAUGUUUGAUGUUCUAACGUGGACCCGUAAUCCGGGUUGCGGACAGUGUCUGGUGGGUAGUUUGACUGGGGCGGUCUCCUCCUAAAGAGUAACGGAGGAGCACGAAGGUUGGCUAAUCCUGGUCGGACAUCAGGAGGUUAGUGCAAUGGCAUAAGCCAGCUUGACUGCGAGCGUGACGGCGCGAGCAGGUGCGAAAGCAGGUCAUAGUGAUCCGGUGGUUCUGAAUGGAAGGGCCAUCGCUCAACGGAUAAAAGGUACUCCGGGGAUAACAGGCUGAUACCGCCCAAGAGUUCAUAUCGACGGCGGUGUUUGGCACCUCGAUGUCGGCUCAUCACAUCCUGGGGCUGAAGUAGGUCCCAAGGGUAUGGCUGUUCGCCAUUUAAAGUGGUACGCGAGCUGGGUUUAGAACGUCGUGAGACAGUUCGGUCCCUAUCUGCCGUGGGCGCUGGAGAACUGAGGGGGGCUGCUCCUAGUACGAGAGGACCGGAGUGGACGCAUCACUGGUGUUCGGGUUGUCAUGCCAAUGGCACUGCCCGGUAGCUAAAUGCGGAAGAGAUAAGUGCUGAAAGCAUCUAAGCACGAAACUUGCCCCGAGAUGAGUUCUCCCUGAGACUUAGAGUCUCCUGAAGGAACGUUGAAGACGACGACGUUGAUAGGCCGGGUGUGUAAGCGCAGCGAUGCGUUGAGCUAACCGGUACUAAUGAACCGUGAGGCUUAACCUUACAACGCCGAAG